Ictidomys tridecemlineatus (thirteen-lined ground squirrel) is the source of this 2002-nucleotide non-coding RNA. Lineage: Eukaryota; Metazoa; Chordata; Mammalia; Rodentia; Sciuridae. The record is from RefSeq and is a predicted model, not a curated record.
AGCCACAUCCCCAGCCCCCUAAGUUGUUCUUUUCAUGCAUUUUGGUCACAGCAACAAAGAGUUGACUAAUAUAGAAAUAUAAUAAUAUGGAUGAAUUUUAGCAAUAAAAUAUGAAGCAAAAAAAUUUAAUCCCAAAAGAGAAAGUAUAGUAUGAUGCCUUUUUUGAAAGAAAAGUUUUUUUCUUUUUGUUAUUAUUUAUAUACUGUGUAAUCCAUUAGUUUAAAAUGUGCUGUUUGGGGCUGGGGAUGUGGCUCAAGCGGUAGCGUGCUCGCCUAGCGUGUAUGCGGCCCGGGUUCGAUCCUCAGCACCACAUACAAACAAAGAUGUUGUGUCCGCCGAGAACUAAGAAAAAAUAAAUAAAUAUUUUUUAAAAAAAUUAAUAAAUAAAUAAAAUAAGAUAAAAUGUGCUGUUUAGUGAAUUUUGAUAAUUGUAUAUAAUAGUAUAGCCAUGAUCACCAACAAGAUGUAGACAGUAAUUUCAUUUGCUAAAAAGAUUCCUUGUGCUCCUUUGUACUCAAUCCCCAUUCCCUGUUCCUGUUCCCAGAUAACCCUUGAUCUGCUUUCUGUCACUAUAGUUUUGUCUCUUCCAAAAUUUCAUGUUGUAGAAGACAGAGUUGAUUUAUAAUUAGACUGUAAAAUCUUCAUCUUCAGUACAAGGUCAGCUGGCUUCAUUGUUUUUUGGCCUAAAGUAAAGCAGAGAAUCAUAGUGGGAAGAAUAUGGUGGAGUAAAGCUGCUACCUCAUGGCAGCUGGGAAGCAGGGACAGAUAGAGGGGAAGGGACUGAGGACAAAAUACAGUUCCCCAAUGUCACACCCUUAAGGACCUACUCCUUUCAACUAGGUCUACUUCCUACAGUUUCUGCCAUCUCCCAGCAGUCCUUUUCAGCUAUGAAUCUAUCAAUGGUUUUUCUAUCCAUGAAGUUUUGAGUAUAUAUAUUAUGGUGAAAAGGAAAGAAUAAUUAUCACUAGAAUUGAGGAUAAUGGUUCCUAUGGGUAGGGUGAUAGGAUGAGGCUGGAGGGAACAUAAAAUGAGGUCACUUUUAAGGUUCUAGUUUUCAUGUGUGGUGCUUAUUACAUUAUUAAAAACGCUAUACAUAAAAGUAAGUUUUGUGUGAUAAAAGUGGUAAAAACACAUUGUGAGGAUUAUUAUUUGUCCAACAAUGUAUACCUGAGUCCCUCCAAAAAGAAAGAAGUGGGUUGAAAACCAAGGCCGCAGUGUAUAAUAUUUUAAAUAUGGCUUAAUGUGGGCUGUGGGACCAGCCAUAUCAAGAACCUAGGCAAUGUUGCUACAGUCUUGUUCAUGAGUUUCUUUCCCUGUGACAUACAACAGCUCAACUAUAGUGGGGGACCAAGUGUUUUGGCAGCCAUGUUUAAUACUGGAGAGAGAGUUUGAAUCUGUGGUUUUCAUCUUUUUGGGUCACAAAUCUUCAUGAGAAACUGAAAGCUUUGGCCCUUCUAGGAAAAAAAUUUAAGAUCACUACAGCAUUUUACAUGUAAUUUCAAGUGUUUGGCACUCCCUAAAUCUCAUCUAUAAACCCCUAGUUAAAAAUUUAGGGGGGCUGGGGAUGUGGUUCAAGCGGUAGCACACUCGCCUGGCAUGCGUGUGGCCUAGGUUCGAUCCUCAGCACCACAUACAAAUAAAGAUGUUGUGUCUGCCGAAAACUAAAAAAUAAAUAUUAAAAAAAUUCUCUCUCUCUCUUUCUCUCUCUCAAAAAAAAAAAAAAUAGGGAUUAGAAGAUCUCAGGAUUUGAUGGCCUUUAGUGGAAGAAUAGGGGACAAGAAGAGCCAGACACAAAAAGUGGCACAUACUUUUAAUCCAGAGACCUGGGAGGCUCAAGCAGAAUGAUUGCAACUUAGAGGCCAACUUUGGUAACUUAAUGAGGAUCAAGUCCAAACUCUGCGAUGACCCCUGGUUGUUGAUUGUUUCAUUCUCCUAUCCUCUAAUCCUUUUUUUCAGAAAUUGUAUCCAUCCCAAGUAAAACUUGCCACUGUGAUGCCUCUGA